This is a long non-coding RNA of Heterocephalus glaber (naked mole-rat), 1540 nucleotides long. RefSeq lists it as uncharacterized. The record is from RefSeq and is a predicted model, not a curated record. Lineage: Eukaryota; Metazoa; Chordata; Mammalia; Rodentia; Bathyergidae.
AAGAGGCUCUCUAAAAAUCAGCUACCACUUCAUUUCAAUUACAGAUUACCAUUUUGUUUCUAGAGGUCCCCUAACCAGUGGAAACAAAAAAGAGGUAGGAGAAGCUGGGAAGUGAAUGCAUUUUCUGGGAAACAGUGCUUGCCCAUGCCUAUGAAGCAAAGGGACAAAUAUUUUCACACAUUAUCAGAUAGCCGAGUGAAACAGCCUCCACCAGAAUUUACAACUGAAGGCUACCAGAAUUUACAACUUGUGAAAUUGUGCCUGUCCGUAUUUUCUCAUUACGCUGGAUUCGGCUGCAGACACUGUGCACUUGCGUUUUCCUUUUCUCCUCGUCUCCCUCCCGCCACUGUCUCACUACUUCCUAGUUAAACCUUGUCUCAAGUUAUCAACACCCUCUGGAGAGAUAAGGCUCCUCUCACUUACAAGCUGUCACUAAUAAUCGAACUUUCAAGACUCCAUCUCUAAGAGAGACUCCCCAAGCCACGCAGGUCACAAGAAUUAACUGCCACCGGUGCUGGCAGAAAACUCGGCUCAUCAAUCUAUAGCUUUCUCGUCAUAAUUAGAAUAACGGCUCUGAAAAUUUGGGCUGAUGUUGACUUGGUCUUAGGCCGCAAAGAGUGCUGAUUAAAAUCUUGGUGUGAAAGUUAAUGAUAAGUGCUGGUGGCGUUGCCGUGGAGACGGGGACAAACAAUUCCCUCUCUGUGACAUUUUCAAUGUCCUGGAGAAGAAAAACUGUCCUCUUUAGUGUGGCAGCGUAUGAAGCUUAUUUAUGGCUACAGGGCUCAGUGGAUUGAUGACUGUCGUAACAUACUGUCAAAUCCUUUACUGACACAUUCAUUUUUUUGGAGCCUCUGGUGUGGCAGAAAUAAAAUAAAAUAAUAAAAACAAAACCAGGGGGAAAAUUCUCCAGCAGACCACAGACGGCCACCAGUGGACCUUCCUUUCACUACAGGACUCCAGAAUUAAUAGACAGAAAGACUUCAUACUUCUUGGCUUCGUAGCCAAGGAAAAGAGAGAGGCAUAAUUGGAAAUCGCUGAGUAAGAAAGAACAAUAUUGUGGCUGCCAGGUCACCCUAGGACUGGUUAUUAUCAAAAGGAGCUGGGCAUCAAUAAUGGCGAUACUAAUGAAAUCAACUAUGCAAAUGUGGAAAUCAUUUUUGUCCUAAUGUACCAAUUUAGCCAGUGAAAGAAAUGCAGCAUAGUCUGAUGUGCUUCCCAACACCCGGGAGCGAAGGCUGCAGAAAAAGCAAGGCUGUCAGCAGCCCUUUGAACAUGUAAUACCUGCUGCCAUGAUCAGAUGGGGGAAGAGCACACAGACAAAGGGGUACAAGACAGCCACCAAAGGCCAAGAAUUUUCAACAGAUCUCUGUCCAGUAUUCAUUUAUGAGGGAGUCACAGAUUUGAAAAAGUUGUGAGAUCUCUGAAGACAGAGACUUUAACUUAUUUUUCUUUGUGUCCCAGAGCUUGGCAUGGUUAAGUGACCAGAAAAUAUCAAAUAAAAGAAGAAAUGAAUAGGGCUGGGGAUUUAGCUCAGUGGUUU